RNAcentral lists this transfer RNA (69 nucleotides) under Ictidomys tridecemlineatus (thirteen-lined ground squirrel). RNAcentral describes it as "Spermophilus tridecemlineatus (thirteen-lined ground squirrel) tRNA". It matches the Rfam family "tRNA". Rfam says of the family: Transfer RNA (tRNA) molecules are approximately 80 nucleotides in length. Their secondary structure includes four short double-helical elements and three loops (D, anti-codon, and T loops). Further hydrogen bonds mediate the characteristic L-shaped molecular structure. tRNAs have two regions of fundamental functional importance: the anti-codon, which is responsible for specific mRNA codon recognition, and the 3' end, to which the tRNAs corresponding amino acid is attached (by aminoacyl-tRNA synthetases). tRNAs cope with the degeneracy of the genetic code in two manners: having more than one tRNA (with a specific anti-codon) for a particular amino acid; and 'wobble' base-pairing, i.e. permitting non-standard base-pairing at the 3rd anti-codon position. The record is from Rfam by way of RNAcentral. Lineage: Eukaryota; Metazoa; Chordata; Mammalia; Rodentia; Sciuridae.
GGGGUUGUGGCUCAGUGGUAGAGUGCUUGCCUAGCAUGUGUGAGGCCCUGGGUUCAACCCUCAGCACCA